UAUCCAUAAUAAAGGCUAGAUGUCUUACAGCGGAGUCUCAAACGUCAUCACCGGCGGCCAUCUUGCCUCAGGCAGGCUUUCAGGCGUGCUCUGUGGUACCUAAUGUAAGGAUUUGUUGAGCGACGGGCUCUGAAAAAGCUGUCCUGUGAUAUCUGCCGUGCCAGCUUGGUAACAGAUGCUGCAUCUGCCAUCAAGGACCAGAGCUACCACCUGCUGAAGUUAAAAAACAAUGGAGGUCUGGUGAUUCCAUCAGAAGGCACAGUGAUGGUAGUCAGGGCAGCAGAGUGGGUCAUUCGUCAGACCUCAUGUACCAGAUGAUCACAGCUCAUGAAAGUGCUAGAGGUCGUGUACAUUGUACGGAAGAGGAUGGGGUCAGAGGAUGUGUUUGUGCUCAGAGAGCACAUCGGAGAGACACAGUAUGGCAUAGACAGCCACCACCAUACGCUGUUAACAUUGGUUGUGUCCUUGUUUUUUAAGUUAAGGCUGCACCACAUUGCCAAAAUAACUAACCUUAGCUUACAGAGCAACAACAUGCGACAGAAGCUCAAUAAAACCGUCCUUUUCAAAGGGCAUUAGCCAA
This is a long non-coding RNA of Fundulus heteroclitus (mummichog), 580 nucleotides long. RefSeq lists it as uncharacterized. The transcript has 2 exons. Lineage: Eukaryota; Metazoa; Chordata; Actinopteri; Cyprinodontiformes; Fundulidae. The record is from RefSeq and is a predicted model, not a curated record.